CUGGGAAACUGCCUGAUGGAGGGGGAUAACUACUGGAAACGGUGGCUAAUACCGCAUAACGUCGCAAGACCAAAGAGGGGGACCUUCGGGCCUCUUGCCAUCAGAUGUGCCCAGAUGGGAUUAGCUUGUUGGUGAGGUAACGGCUCACCAAGGCGACGAUCCCUAGCUGGUCUGAGAGGAUGACCAGCCACACUGGAACUGAGACACGGUCCAGACUCCUACGGGAGGCAGCAGUGGGGAAUAUUGCACAAUGGGCGCAAGCCUGAUGCAGCCAUGCCGCGUGUAUGAAGAAGGCCUUCGGGUUGUAAAGUACUUUCAGCGGGGAGGAAGGUGUUGUGGUUAAUAACCACAGCAAUUGACGUUACCCGCAGAAGAAGCGGGACCGGCUAACGUGCCAGCAGCCGCGGUAAUACGGAGGGUGCAAGCGUUAAUCGGAACUGGGCGUAAAGCGCACGCAGGCGGUCUGUCAAGUCGGAUGUGAAAUCCCCGGGCUCAACCUGGGAACUGCAUUCGAAACUGGCAGGCUUGAGUCUUGUAGAGGGGGGUAGAAUUCCAGGUGUAGCGGUGAAAUGCGUAGAGAUCUGGAGGGCCCUUGAGGCGUGGCUUCCGGAGCUAACGCGUUAAGUAGACCGCCUGGGGAGUACGGCCGCAAGGUUAAAACUCAAAUGAAUUGACGGGGGCCCGCACAAGCGGUGGAGCAUGUGGUUUAAUUCGAUGCAACGCGAAACCUUACCUGGUCUUGACAUCCACAGAAGUUUCCAGAGAUGGAUUGGUGCCUUCGGGAACUGUGAGACACCGGUUGGUGCUGCAUGGCUGUCGUCAGCUCGUGUUGUGAAAUGUUGGGUUAAGUCCCGCAACGAGCGCAACCCUUAUCCUUUGUUGCCAGCGGUUAGGCCGGGAACUCAAAGGAGACUGCCAGUGAUAAACUGGAGGAAGGUGGAUGACGUCAAGUCAUCCCCUUAAAACGACCAGGGCUACACACGUGCUACAAUGGCGCAUACAAAGAGAAGCGACCUCGCGAGAGCAAGCGGACCUCCCGGUAAUAAGCGUCGUAGUCCGGAUUGGAGUCUGCAACUCGACUCCAUGAAGUCGGAAUCGCGUAGGGUUUAUCGUGGAUCAGAAUGCCACGGUGAAUACGUUCCCGGGCCUUGUACACACCGCCCGUCACACCAUGGGAGUGGGUUGCAGGUUAAAGAAGUAGGUAGCUUAACCUUCG
RNAcentral lists this ribosomal RNA (1216 nucleotides) under Salmonella enterica. RNAcentral's name for it is "partial 16S ribosomal RNA". It matches the Rfam family "Bacterial small subunit ribosomal RNA", at positions 117 to 1444 of the family's 1533-position model. The record is from RNAcentral. Lineage: Bacteria; Pseudomonadati; Pseudomonadota; Gammaproteobacteria; Enterobacterales; Enterobacteriaceae.